Molecule: RNA transcript, 2663 nt
Organism: Limulus polyphemus (Atlantic horseshoe crab)
Lineage: Eukaryota; Metazoa; Arthropoda; Merostomata; Xiphosura; Limulidae
Gene: CAHbeta
Gene name: beta carbonic anhydrase 1-like
Exons: 5
Source: RefSeq, a predicted model, not a curated record
UUCAGUAGUGGUAACGGUACUGUUAGUUGUGAAAAGAAAAAUCUUUUACAUUUCAUAAUGGGUUUAGAAAAAAUACUUCGUGGCAUUAUGAAGUAUCGUAAAAGCUCAUGUCACUCUAAAAUGCUAGAAAAAUAUCAGCAUAUUAAAGAAAUGUAUAAUUCAUCCCCACGUCCUUCAGCAAUUUUUUUCACCUGUAUGGACAGUCGAAUAUCACCUUCACAGUUCACGCAGACUGAGGUCGGAGAUAUGUUUGUUGUUCGAAAUGCGGGAAAUUUGGUUCCCAGCUCCAAUCAUCAGUCAAUGGACUUCUUUAGCAAUGAACCUGCAGCAAUGGAACUAGCCUGUGUCUUGACUGGUGUUAGACAUGUUGUGAUAUGUGGUCAUUCUGACUGUAAGGCAAUGAAUAGGUUGUACAAAAUGCAUGAAGAGGAGACACUUAUGGAGCUCAAAGGCUCACUACAUGGAUGGUUGUGCCAGCAUGGAAUAGCUUCCUUAGACAGGUUUAUAGAGCUGGAAAAGAACAAUUUUAAAAACCCAUUACAAUUUUUUGAAAAGAACACAAGUAAGAAAUUCAGGGCAUUCAUUGAUCCAGAAAACAAGUUUUCUCAUGUUGACAAAUUAUCCCAGAUAAAUUGUUUACAGCAACUUGAAAAUGCCACUUCACAUGCAUUCCUGAAACCAUUACUGGAGCAAGACAAGCUACGUUUUCAUGCACUUUGGUUUGAUAUAAACACGGGUGAUGUGCACUGCUUUAGCAAUAAAAAGGAGCAGUUUGUAGAAGUCAAUGACCACAGUGUGGAAGAAUUGCUGGUGGAGAGUGACCAAAAUAUUUUUUCUGGUCCAAAUAAAUAAAUUAAUUCAUUACCUUAGUAUUUCUGAGUUUGAGACAUGGAAUUUAAAUAUUUUACAUUUUUUAUACUAUCAGUUAAAAUGUAUGUAUCAUUUAUUUACUUAUGAACAAAGAGAUUUGGAAAAGGUUUCUUUAGAAAGAUAUAAAAUUAAAACAUCAUAACCUCCCAAGUGUAAUUUUGAGAAUGUUGUGGUUUUGAUGGAGUUUUUAUAACUUAAGAGAUAAAUGACAAUUAUCUUUACCAAUCUUUCUAUAAUUUGGUCAGUGUCACUGUCCAGUUGACAAUGCAAACAUAUUGUGAACUUAUGAUACUACACAUGACAUUACAACAAAUUCUUGUUGUACGUCUUGAUCAUGUAUCACUAUCAUAUAACAUGACAUCUUAAACCAUUGUUUAACACUUGAUCUUGUGACACUAUCAUAUAACAUGACAACAAUUGACCAUUGUUUAACACUUGAUCUUGUGACACUAUGCAUAAAGAACAUGACAAGAAUUCAAACAAAUGUGUAACACUUUAUAAUAGGUUGUAACAUUAUGAUACAUUGUUUGAUACUGGGAUAAAGAAAAAAUACAUUAUCACACACCUCUCAAUACAAUGACUGUACAGUUGUAGGUGGUGUAUCUCCAUUAGAACAUACUACACUUAAAAAAAUAAUGUAAACCUUAUAAUACAUUUUUAUGUGUGAUAAAAAAAAUAAUUUGGUCUGCUUUAUAGGAAUUCCUAUUUAGGUGGCUUUUCCUCAGCUUUAGCAAUAACAUUGUGAUAUUAAUAUAUAUAGUCUAAAAUGUUAACCAUAGAGAACAGUUGUAUCAAUCUUGGACUCUUACUGAUUAGUUACAGUGAUUUUAAUCUGUAAUAUUAACAUAGAGAACAGCUGUAUCAAGCUUGGGCUCUUAUUGAUUAGUUACAGUGAUUUUAGUCUGUAAUAUUAACAUGGAGAACAGGUGUAUCAAUCUUGGACUGUUACUGAUUACUUACAGUGAUUUUAGUCUGUAAUAUUAACAUAGAGAACAGCUGUAUCAAUCUUGGACUGUUAUUGAUUACUUAUAGUGAUGUUAGGGUAUAAUAUUAACAUAGAGAACAGCUGUAUCAAUCUUGGACUGUUACUGUAUAAUUAUAGUGAUGUUAUUCUACAAUGUUAACAUAGAGAACAGCUGUAUCAAUCUUGGACUGUUACUGUUUAAUUAUAGUGAUGUUAUUCUAUAAUGUUAACAUAGAGAACAGCUGUAUCAAUCUUGGACUGUUACUGUUUAAUUAUAGUGAUGUUAUUCUAUAAUGUUAACAUAGAGAACAGCUGUAUCAAUCUUGGACUGUUACUGAUUACUUACAGUGAUGUUAGUCUGUAAUAUUAAUAUUGAGAACAGCUGUAUCAAUCUUGGACUGUUACUGAUUACUUAUAGUGAUGUUAUUCUAUAAUGUUAACAUAGAGAACAGCUGUAUCAAUCUUGAACUGUAACUGAUUACUUAUAGUGAUGUUAUUCUAUAAUAUUAACAUAGAGAACAGCUGUAUCAAUCUUGGACUGUUACUGAUUACUUAUAGUGAUGUUAUUCUAUAAUGUUAACAUAGAGAACAGCUGUAUCAAUCUUGGACUGUUACUGAUUACUUAUAGUGAUGUUAAUCUGUAAUAUUAACUAUAGAGAACAGCUGUAUCAAUCUUGGACUGUUACUGAUUACUUACAUGAUGUUAUUCUAUAAUAUUAACAUAGAGAACAGCUGUAUCAAUCUUGGACUGUUACUGAUUACUUAUAGUGAUGUUAUUCUAUAAUGUUAACAUAGAGAACAGCUGUAUCAAUCUUGGACUGUUACUGAU